UUGGGUUCCUGGGUGUUUCCUGUCUGUGGUUGGGGUUGCUGUUUCCCUGUCCAUCCUUCAGGGGGCGCCUGGCAGUCAUUCCUGGAGGGCGUGGACCAGCUGAUAUUCAUCACCUGCACUGCAUGAUCUCAUUUGGAGGAGCAUAAGAGGAGGAGGCAGCCUACACACCAGUGCCAGAGUGUUUUGCCAGUUUUGGAACUCUCACUACAGAAGCUGUGAACCCCUUAGUGGAAAUCCAGCGCAGAACCUCUCCUUGUGACGCCAGUGGAUUAUUGCCCACCGGAUGCCCAAGUCCCUGAAUCCCACCUUGGUGAUCGGAUCUCCACGCUCGCUGCCUUCCUCUCUCCGGCCAUAACGAAACCCGCCCAGAUCUCGUCCGCCCUCCAGAGCUGCCCCACCCCCAUAAGCGAAGCAGCAACACUCGACCUCAAGUAAUCCGCCCAGGAUCCUUCAGACCUUCCCCCCCCCCCGGUCCGUAUCAUCUCAGCUGAACUCCAACCAGAAGCAUCGAAUCCUCUCCGGACCAGUUUUUUCCCCUUUUUCUCUGACUGUCAUUCUCUGCAAUAAAUAUAAUUUUACUGA
This is a long non-coding RNA of Xiphophorus hellerii (green swordtail), 582 nucleotides long. RefSeq lists it as uncharacterized. Lineage: Eukaryota; Metazoa; Chordata; Actinopteri; Cyprinodontiformes; Poeciliidae. The record is from RefSeq and is a predicted model, not a curated record. The transcript is spliced from 3 exons.